RNAcentral lists this ribosomal RNA (468 nucleotides) under uncultured bacterium. RNAcentral's name for it is "partial 16S ribosomal RNA". It matches the Rfam family "Bacterial small subunit ribosomal RNA", at positions 28 to 507 of the family's 1533-position model. The record is from RNAcentral.
GACGAACGCUGGCGGCGUGCUUAACACAUGCAAGUCGAACGGAAAGGCCCUGCUUUUGUGGGGUGCUCGAGUGGCGAACGGGUGAGUAACACGUGAGUAACCUGCCCUUGACUUUGGGAUAACUUCAGGAAACUGGGGCUAAUACCGGAUAGGAGCUCCUGCUGCAUGGUGGGGGUUGGAAAGUUUCGGCGGUUGGGGAUGGACUCGCGGCUUAUCAGCUUGUUGGUGGGGUAGUGGCUUACCAAGGCUUUGACGGGUAGCCGGCCUGAGAGGGUGACCGGCCACAUUGGGACCGAGAUACGGCCCAGGCUCCUACGGGAGGCAGCAGUGGGGAAUAUUGCACAAUGGGCGGAAGCCUGAUGCAGCAACGCCGCGUGCGGGAUGACGGCCUUCGGGUUGUAAACCGCUUUCGCCUGUGACGAAGCGUGAGUGACGGUAAUGGGUAAAGAAGCACCGGCUAACUACGUG